GAUGAACGCUAGCUACAGGCUUAACACAUGCAAGUCGAGGGGCAGCAUGGUCUUAGCUUGCUAAGGCCGAUGGCGACCGGCGCACGGGUGAGUAACACGUAUCCAACCUGCCGUCUACUCUUGGACAGCCUUCUGAAAGGAAGAUUAAUACAAGAUGGCAUCAUGAGUCCGCAUGUUCACAUGAUUAAAGGUAUUCCGGUAGACGAUGGGGAUGCGUUCCAUUAGAUAGUAGGCGGGGUAACGGCCCACCUAGUCUUCGAUGGAUAGGGGUUCUGAGAGGAAGGUCCCCCACAUUGGAACUGAGACACGGUCCAAACUCCUACGGGAGGCAGCAGUGAGGAAUAUUGGUCAAUGGGCGAGAGCCUGAAUCAGCCAAGUAGCGUGAAGGAUGACUGCCCUAUGGGUUGUAAACUUCUUUUAUAAAGGAAUAAAGUCGGGUAUGGAUACCCGUUUGCAUGUACUUUAUGAAUAAGGAUCGGCUAACUCCGUG
Molecule: ribosomal RNA, 490 nt
Filed under: uncultured bacterium
Lineage: Bacteria
Description: partial 16S ribosomal RNA
Rfam family: Bacterial small subunit ribosomal RNA
Source: RNAcentral